GGGCGCAGCCUGAUGGAGCACACCGCGUGAGUGAAGAAGGGUUUCGGCUCGUAAAGCUCUGUUGUUAAAGAAGAACACGUAUGAGAGUAACUGUUCAUACGUUGACGGUAUUUAACCAGAAAGUCACGGCUAACUACGUGCCAGCAGCCGCGGUAAUACGUAGGUGGCAAGCGUUAUCCGGAUUUAUUGGGCGUAAAGAGAGUGCAGGCGGUUUUCUAAGUCUGAUGUGAAAGCCUUCGGCUUAACCGGAGAAGUGCAUCGGAAACUGGAUAACUUGAGUGCAGAAGAGGGUAGUGGAACUCCAUGUGUAGCGGUGGAAUGCGUAGAUAUAUGGAAGAACACCAGUGGCGAAGGCGGCUACCUGGUCUGCAACUGACGCUGAGACUCGAAAGCAUGGGUAGCGAACAGGAUUAGAUACCCUGGUAGUCCAUGCCGUAAACGAUGAGUGCUAGGUGUUGGAGGGUUUCCGCCCUUCAGUGCCGGAGCUAACGCAUUAAGCACUCCGCCUGGGGAGUACGACCGCAAGGUUGAAACUCAAGAAAUU
RNAcentral lists this ribosomal RNA (544 nucleotides) under Limosilactobacillus fermentum. RNAcentral describes it as "bacterial SSU rRNA". It matches the Rfam family "Bacterial small subunit ribosomal RNA", at positions 373 to 911 of the family's 1533-position model. Lineage: Bacteria; Bacillati; Bacillota; Bacilli; Lactobacillales; Lactobacillaceae. The record is from RNAcentral.